GGCAUGAUUUUGAUUUUCAGGUUUUCCUUCACCAAGUUUAGGAUUUCCAGGCAAUUUAAUUGAGUAGAUUUCCUUAUCUUUGCCGUUGAUGUCAGCCUUUACUAGCUUUGAGAUAUAUUCCUUAUUCACCUUCCCUUCUUUAAGAGUUUCAACCUCAUCAAUGAAAGCAACUCGAAGAGCCUCAUUUCUUUGCAUUAGUAACGCAAUAUCUGCAGCCUCGGGUUUUUGCUCUUCUUUCUGUUUCCCAUAUAUCUGGCAUGUGACAACAUACGUAAAUUUCAGAUCUGCCUGUGCUCUUGAUUCAGGAGACAAGUCAAAUCCUUGAGUAUCCGUAAUUUCAUUUCGUGUAGUUCCUGCUUCAGUAUCUCCAGUAAUCAUCCCUUCCAAAUACGAUUGAAGCAUUAGUGCUUUCCUGUAGUACAUCAUUCCACGAACAGUUCUGGCCAAUGUUUGCCCACGGUAUGAAGCCCAGAACCUAAGUUCAAGAAUGUCAUUUGGAUUAUCAUUAAGUUCUUUCUCUGAGAUGUUCUCAUCGCGACCUAUUCGUGCAAGAAAGUUUUUCCAUUCAUCUGGGUAUAUUUUCUGGAGGUAAAACAGAAUAGAAAUUCCAUCUUCAUUUUUCUUAAGGAGUUCUGACAUGCUGUAAAGAACAGUUUCUGAAUAAUAUGGGGUGAACACGCUGAAGGAUAGCAUCUCACGGACAGGUCGUGUUACAGGCAUCUCCAUGAAAAGGGAAUUGGUGAAGAACUCUAACCGACGCCUAGCUUCAAGAUUCUUGGGUAUGUUGGCAGCAGAUUCUUUAAUAGUUAGGAGAGAAUAAAGUCUUUUAAUCAGUUCCAUCAACUCAGCAUCUCUUGGCCACUUUAACUUUGAGAACAACCGGCCUUCAUUCCUUGCUUUUGACAAAGUGUUCCAUGUUUCAAUGUGGUCUCUCAUGUUGAAGCGAAGGACAUCAAGUCGCAGAACAUCAUACAGAUCUUGAAUAGCUUUAACAGCCCCAGUUUCAAGCUCUGGUGUAUGCUCCUUUUUCAGUAUUCCCAUUAGUGCAGUUACUUUCUGAAUCACCAGUGGCAACUUAUUCAUAUCAACGUCCACAUUAAUGCUCCUUUUAGAUAUGCUCCCACGAAUAUCCUCAUAUAUACGUUCAACCCACUUCUUUCCUUCAUCAUUUCCUUCAUCAUCUAAUAUGGAUGUAAGAACAAACUUGAUGGCGUAAUAGCACUCUUCAACCGCAUAUAUCAUGUAAUCAUCCCUUGAAAUCCUAUCCCAUAACUCAUCUUGUGAGUCUUUACUCUCCACAGCUAUAUCUUUUGCAAGAAAUAUCUUGCUAGCUAGGAGGAAAAGAGGCCACUGAACCAAGGGCAGACUCCCAGAAUUCUUAGGCAUCAAAAGCUGUUCCAUCUCCAAAUUAGUAAUGUAAUCUUCUUCCCUCAAAUUCUUGACAAUUUCAUUCCAGAAAGGUGCAAAUCGAGCAGCAUCGGCUUUGUUUCUCUCCAAAACCUGACCAGAAGACAGGAGUGACACCCUGGUUCGAAGAGGCACAUGAAGACUAUUCAUAAAAGCCUCGGGAAACCUCUCAAAACGUUUAUGCACAGCAUCCAAUGAUCUUAUCUCCCCUAGGCGAUCUCGUGCUCCCAGAAGAAAGCCCCAUACAGCCGAUAUAACCGUGUAAAAUAGAUGAGUAUCAAACAGGUAUAUAAUAAAAACUGGUGCCCAUAAGCUCGCAACUGUCAGUGCAUUAUGGUUAUUUUUAGAAACAAAAUCGUGCCAAGAGUACUGCCGAAUAUCCAUUGCCACUAUCUGUCUUGUUGGCUUCACCAACGGCUUAAUCAGUAGAAAAUAGGCAAAAGCAAAUUUAGCUCCCAGGACAACAAGCCAAAAAACCAUAUACUUGAUGAAGUCAAUAGUUUUCUCAUACAUGCCCCGACCAACGUAAUAGUGUUCCUGGUGCAUCCACUUGAUGAAACGGACCACAGACCAAUUGUCACAUCGACUUGUCAAACUAUGACAAGCUGGAAUCCGCAGCAGAAAGCUGACAAAAAACUUAACUCCAGCAUAGAUUGCAAGAACAACAAUAUAAAUUCUGAAGACAGUAGAGUUGGAAUUUUGGCUGCUAUUAUCUUCAAGCGCUUUCACAUAAAGGAAACAUAUGAAGACAGAAGCUAUGCUGAACCAAACAAAACGAAGGAAAAUCCGACUGACAGCUAAACGCCUUGAUGUAGAGUAUGCACCAUACAUCAUGAUAACAUCCAGAACACUCUCAAGAAACUUCAUCACAACAUACGUAGGUCCAAGACUCAAAACUUCCCUCAGUGUUUUUGAAUCGAGUCGCUCAUUAUUGAAAGCAAGGAUGGUCAAUCCCUGAAAAAACAUGAAAAGAAACAUCCAAAGACGAUGAAAACUGUGAUAAAGAUGGAGAAAAGUCCUGUGCUCAACAAAGGAUGUUUUUCCUCUGCGCUUGCCACCUCCAGAUUUAAGAAUGUUCUUUGAUCUGGGUGUUGGCUUUAGAAAGAAAGAAGAAUUUGUCCGCCAUGGCCAGCUAAGCUUGAAGCAAUGACGGGACCAGAAAUACUCAUUAAAAUCAUCAUAGUUUCUCCACGCAGAAUGAGGUGCUCGGCCAUUCUCAUUGUUUC
Molecule: unclassified non-coding RNA, 2633 nt
Filed under: Hevea brasiliensis (rubber tree)
Lineage: Eukaryota; Viridiplantae; Streptophyta; Magnoliopsida; Malpighiales; Euphorbiaceae
Source: RNAcentral